RNAcentral lists this non-coding RNA (31 nucleotides) under Mus musculus (house mouse). Lineage: Eukaryota; Metazoa; Chordata; Mammalia; Rodentia; Muridae. The record is from RNAcentral.
UAGCAUAUAGCUUAGUGCUGCUGAUGACGUC